Long non-coding RNA from Zea mays, 2679 nucleotides. RefSeq lists it as uncharacterized. Lineage: Eukaryota; Viridiplantae; Streptophyta; Magnoliopsida; Poales; Poaceae. The transcript has 4 exons. The record is from RefSeq and is a predicted model, not a curated record.
GUGGCAAGGUAUGGCCCAAGCCAUGCCUUGGCCCAACGCCCCAGCCCAAUUAGCAAUACCAACUCUCUGGCACCGGCCGCCGCUUUACACGGUAACACGCAGCCGCUCUUCCCUGCUCAUGCUCGCUCGCUGGUCUGCUCCUGCUCGCUCGCUGGUCUGCGGCAAGAAGCCGGAAGCCACCGUCCGUCCUCAACCAGCCGCUGGCCCGCUGCAGCCUGCAGACAGCAGAUCGUCCUCGCGCGCCCAGUCGCCCGUCCCGUCGCCCCUGCACACGGCUGGCUUGCCGCAGACCGCAGUGCCGCACUGCCGCUCGAGUCUGUCAGACCGCAGUGCCGCUCGAGACUGAAGACGCUGCUGACCGCCUGCUGUCAGCUGUGGAUAACUGGAUUUAAUCUGGUCAUUUAAUUAUUUGAGCAAUGGCUGGAAAUAAGAAGGGAAAGAAUAAGGCUUCACAAAAAAGAUUUGAAGAGCUAUUUUAGCCAAGGUUCCACUGGCUCAAGUCUAAGUACUCAUGGCAGCGGCGUAGUUGCUAUUGUAGAUGUGCCUUUAGAAGAAAAUGUCUCGCCAUCUGUAGAACAUGAUGAAGAAGAAGAACAAGUUCAAGAAGGUAUAACUGACUUCAACCCAGAUCACAUUAUUUCUGAUCCAGGACUUCGUAUUCCAAUUGAAAGAUUUUAUGCAAAUAUUAGAUAUGAAGUUAGGAGAGCUUUUAUAGCUAAAGGUCCAACCCAACCAACUGGUCAUAGAUUUCCUCCAUCAAGUGAUAAAAGGAGCUUUCAGAAAAAGUGGUUUAGUCAAUAUAGUUGGUUGGAAUAUAGUGUGGAGAAGAAUAAAGCAUAUUGCUUCUAUUGCUACCUUUUUAAGAAUGAUCGAAUGGAUGCCAAUUUUGGUUAUGAUGCCUUUACAAUAGCUGGGUUCUCACAAUGGAAAAAUGCUUAUCUUGCACUUCCAAAACAUGUUGGUGGGCCUAGUAGCAUAAACAAUGUUGCAUCAACAUCAUUUCAUGAUUUUGAUAACCAAAGGUCAAGCAUAAAACAUAAGGUUUCAAGUUAUAGCAAAGAUGCAUUGAUCAAAUAUGAAACCCGAUUGGAAACUUCUUUAGGUAUUGUAAGUUAUCUUGUAUUGCAAGGGGAACCAUUUCGGGGGCAUGAUGAAUCUAGUACUUCCUUGAAUAGAGGCAAUUUUUUAGAAUUGCUUGAUUGGUACAAGCAAAGGAAUGAUGAAGUGAAGCGUGUUUUUGAUGAGUUAUGUACCAAAAAUGCUAAAAUGACCUCUGGAACAAUUCAGAAAGAACUUGCAAGUUGUUGUGCAGAAGCAAUCACAAAGGCAAUAAAGGAAGAAAUGGGGGAUUGUCUAUUCACUAUUCUUGUUGAUGAAUCUCGUGAUAUAUCAAUUAAAGAACAAAUGGCCUUGGUUGUGAGAUUUGUGAAUACUAAAGGUGAGGUAAUUGAAAAAUUUCUAGGUCUCAAACAUGUCAAGGACACAACAUCGGAAGCAUUGAAGAGAGCACUGGUUGAGGCAUUAAGCGACCAUGGUUUAUGUGUUGCAAAUUGUCAGCAGUGCUACAACAGAGAGCGAUAUACCAGCCGUCUUGCAGAAGCAGCAUCAGGGAAACACAAGCAGUGGGCCGCCUGUUGAUCCUGCGAUUGGGCCGAGGCGCAGUAUGAGACAACGCGUCAAGAGCACAAGGGUCCAUGGGCCUGAGUGGGUGGCAUGACUAGCGUUCGGAGAGGAUACUUCUUCCACUAGCGUCGCGUGGGAAGGGCAGGAAAUGACAGAGAGAGCUGAUUCUCCUAUUGUAGUUCCUUAGAACUCCUUCUUCCCCUUCCUGCUACUCUCUGUUAAUUCUGCUGUAAUUCCGCUACAUUACUACCAAUCAAUACGAGUGCCAGUCGAACCCUAACACAAAUCUUCGAGGGCAAGGGUACGAUGGUGCUUCUAACAUGAGAGGAGAAUUUAAUGGUCUUCAAAAAAUAAUUCGAGAUGAGAACCCGCAUGCUCAUUAUAUCUAUUGUGACGACUUCUCUUUUGAUGAUCGCAAGAUAAUAAAGGAUCAGUUACGCACUUUCAUUAUUCAUGUGCGAAGACUUGAGGAGUUCAAAGUUUGUUAUGAUCUUGCAAGUCUAUCCAAAAUAAUGGUUAGACUUGAAAGACAUAUUGUUUUCCCAUUGGUCUUUCGUCUUAUUGAGUUGGCAUUGCUAUUACCGGUGGCUACGGCAACGGUUGAAAGGGCCUUCUCAGCGAUGAAGGUUAUCAAGACUGAGUUGCUCAAUAAGAUGUCUGAUGGUUGGUUAAAUGAUUUAAUGGUUUGCUAUAUUGAGAGGGACAUAUUCAAAGGACUUGAUCUUCAAAAAAUUAAAAAGGCUUUUCAAAAGAAGAAAGAUAGACAAAUGCAAUUGCCUCAGUCUCCUAGGCGUAACUAGAAGGCUAGGGUCCAUCAAGAUGACAAACAACGGAGCAAGAAAAAGAAGGAAAAAAAAGAAAAAGGGCAAAGGUAAUACAAUGUAGGUUUUUUCCUUGCUUUUUCAUCUAAAAGACAUUGGUUGGCAGAUGGGCAAUGUACUGAACCUAAUCCACCGUGCCAUUGCUGAACCUACUUGUAGAUCAUAUAGGUUCGAUGUGCUGUCAAAGAGUCAUCAAGCAAACUUUCUGUUGAUAAUGAUCUCCAUUGUGUUCUAA